GAAAUGUUUGAGAGAAUUUUAGGCCGUCUGGCUUGACUAUGUCACUUGAAUGUACAGCACAUUGUAUAAUAAAACAUCAUCAGGAAUUGACGGAUUAGGUGUGGAUGACGGUACCCGGACAAUAAGGACCGGCUAACUACGUGCCAGCAGCCGCGGUAAUACUUAUGGUCCGAGCGUUAAUCGGAAUUACUGGGCGUAAAGCGUGCGCAGGCGGUUGGGCAAGACCGAUGUGAAAUCCCCGGGCUUAACCUGGGAAUUGCAUUGGUGACUGCACGGCUAUAGUGUGUCAGAGGGGGGUAGAAUUCCACGUGUAGCAAUGAAAUGCGUAGAGAUGUGGAGGAAUACCGAUGGCGAAGGCAGCCCCCUGGGAUAACACUGACGCUCAUGCACGAAAGCCUGGGGAGCACACAGGAUUAGAUACCCUGGUAGUCCACGCCCUAAACGAUGUCAACUAGUUGUUGGGGAUUCAUUUCCUUAGUAACCUAGCUAACGCGUGAAGUUGACCGCCUGGGGAGUACGGUUCGCAAGAUUAAAACUCAAAGGAAUUGACGGG
RNAcentral lists this ribosomal RNA (553 nucleotides) under uncultured bacterium. RNAcentral's name for it is "bacterial SSU rRNA". It matches the Rfam family "Bacterial small subunit ribosomal RNA", at positions 346 to 917 of the family's 1533-position model. The record is from RNAcentral.